CAGCCGCCGCGGUAAUACGAAGGGGGCUAGCGUUGUUCGGAAUUACUGGGCGUAAAGCGCACGUAGGCGGAUCGAUCAGUCAGGGGUGAAAUCCCAGGGCUCAACCCUGGAACUGCCUUUGAUACUGUCGAUCUGGAGUAUGGAAGAGGUGAGUGGAAUUCCGAGUGUAGAGGUGAAAUUCGUAGAUAUUCGGAGGAACACCAGUGGCGAAGGCGGCUCACUGGUCCAUUACUGACGCUGAGGUGCGAAAGCGUGGGGAGCAAACAGGAUUAGAGACCCCAGUAGUCCCUGUCUCUUAUAC
This 301-nucleotide ribosomal RNA is filed under the name uncultured bacterium. RNAcentral's name for it is "partial 16S ribosomal RNA". It matches the Rfam family "Bacterial small subunit ribosomal RNA", at positions 509 to 807 of the family's 1533-position model. The record is from RNAcentral.